AAUAAUUGGGAUGGGCCUGCCUCUGAUACCAUGAAAGAAUGGAUCUUGGGCCUAACUCAACCCCAAAAGCUAGCUUAUGAGGUGAGGAUUAUACAAGGCAUAUAAGGAGACCAAUGACCUAAAAUUCCUCCGAUGUGGGACAACUCAACACCGCUCCACCGGCAGUGGCCUCCUCCGCCGUAAGUGUGAUUCAGGCAUAAUGGAGAAGAUGAUGAAUUGGAACUGAUUAGCAGAGAACUUCUCUGUGAAGGUCAUGCUUUAUGAGCGUUUUUUGUUUUGGCUCUUAAUUAGUUUUUUUGGUGCUAGCUAUAUAUAGAUCAAGAAAAAAUGGUUAGGAAGUUAUG
Molecule: long non-coding RNA, 344 nt
Filed under: Nicotiana benthamiana
Lineage: Eukaryota; Viridiplantae; Streptophyta; Magnoliopsida; Solanales; Solanaceae
Description: long non-coding RNA (NBEN_LNC012418)
Source: RNAcentral